CUCCCAGCCCCCACCCGUGAGAAUCGGCCAGCGCAUGACAUCACGCAACCCCGUGACGUCACUUCGCUCCUGCCAGAUUUUGCCGGGAAUCUCUCGGGAACGAGACACACCUACAUUUACUGGUGUGAGUGUGUAAAAUCAUCACAGACGGCAUGCUAGGUGGGAGAGCCCCUCAUUCCUUCCACAAAGGUUUCUGGUGCACCCCGUGGUCCUGCUAUGACGAAACAGAAAAAAGAAAAAAAGUCCUCAUCCUCAUGGAGCUGAAAUCCAGUCAGGUUUCGGUGUCCUUUUGGUUCCGGGCCAGAUCUUGGGAGCCACUCAGACCUUGGCAAAGCCUCACCGAAUUCUCUGCCAAGCAGAGUGUGUUGCCUGGACAACCUCUAGAAACCAGGUGUUCAACCCACAGGGGACAAAACACAAAGAAAACUGGGUCCUCUCCUGGCUGAGGAGCUAUCGGAGCGGAAAUCUCAAGCCUUCUGCGGGGACCUGAAGGCUGGGGAGGAAGUGCCCCCCUACGCUUGCUUGGCUGGCUCAGCAGUUUGCCAUCUCCUCUCUCCCCUCCACCUGGGGACCUGGGGGUGGGGGUGAUGUCAAGGCCACAGACAUAUCCAGCUGUCUGUUAGGGCGACUGAUCCUAGACAAAGAUAAUAGCCCCAGGGACACGCAGAUACACCAAUAGACGACUUCCGCCUCUCUCUUCCCCACAACCCUGCCCCUCCCGUCUCCUACUUCUGGGGCAAUGCGAGGUCUCCGCUGGUCAGCUGAGGGAACUGGCUGGAGAACUAGAAAACGCUGGAGGCCUAGACUUCCUGAUGGCCUGGGGGGUGGGGGUCAAGGAGAAAGCUGGGUCCUGCCCUAGGGGAGCCGCUGAGUGAGAGGAAGGAAAGGGGCCCCUUUUCGUGGGGACCUCCUGGGCAGGGGACAAAGAGAAGAGGGAAGAGGCUUGGACCAGCCCCCCCUAAUUAUAGGGCCACUGACAAUAAUGGCUAAGGUUUACCCCAC
Molecule: long non-coding RNA, 1002 nt
Organism: Manis javanica (Malayan pangolin)
Lineage: Eukaryota; Metazoa; Chordata; Mammalia; Pholidota; Manidae
Source: RefSeq, a predicted model, not a curated record